This 253-nucleotide ribosomal RNA is filed under the name uncultured bacterium. RNAcentral's name for it is "partial 16S ribosomal RNA". It matches the Rfam family "Bacterial small subunit ribosomal RNA", at positions 524 to 776 of the family's 1533-position model. The record is from RNAcentral.
UACGUAGGGGGCAAGCGUUGUCCGGAUUUAUUGGGCGUAAAGAGCGUGUAGGCGGCCAGGCAGGUCCGCUGUGAAAACUCGAGGCUCAACCUCGAGAGGUCGGUGGAAACCGUCUGGCUAGAGUCCGGAAGAGGAGAGUGGAAUUCCCGGUGUAGCGGUGAAAUGCGCAGAGAUGUGGAGGAACACCGAUGGCGAAGGCAGCCUCCUGGGCCAGCACUGACGCUCAUGCACGAAAGCGUGGGGAGCAAACAGG